AUUGAACGCUGGCGGCAUGCCUUACACAUGCAAGUCGAACGGCAGCACGGGGCAACCUGGUGGCGAGUGGCGAACGGGUGAGUAAUGCAUCGGAACGUGCCAUUGAGUGGGGGAUAACGUAGCGAAAGUUGCGCUAGUACCGCAUAUUCUGUGAGCAGGAAAGCAGGGGACCGCAAGGCCUUGCGCUCUUUGAGCGGCCGAUGUCAGAUUAGCUAGUUGGUGAGGUAACGGCUUACCAAGGCGACGAUCUGUAGCGGGUCUGAGAGGAUGAUCCGCCACACUGGAACUGAGACACGGUCCAGACUCCUACGGGAGGCAGCAGUGGGGAAUUUUGGACAAUGGGCGCAAGCCUGAUCCAGCCAUGCCGCGUGAGUGAAGAAGGCC
Molecule: ribosomal RNA, 384 nt
Filed under: uncultured bacterium
Lineage: Bacteria
Description: bacterial SSU rRNA
Rfam family: Bacterial small subunit ribosomal RNA
Source: RNAcentral